This 301-nucleotide ribosomal RNA is filed under the name uncultured bacterium. RNAcentral's name for it is "partial 16S ribosomal RNA". It matches the Rfam family "Bacterial small subunit ribosomal RNA", at positions 509 to 807 of the family's 1533-position model. The record is from RNAcentral.
CAGCAGCCGCGGUAAUGGGUAGGUGGCAAGCGUUGUCCGGAAUUAUUGGGCGUAAAGCGCGCGCAGGUGGUUUAAUAAGUCUGAUGUGAAAGCCCACGGCUCAACCGUGGAGGGUCAUUGGAAACUGUUAAACUUGAGUGCAGGAGAGAAAAGUGGAAUUCCUAGUGUAGCGGUGAAAUGCGUAGAGAUUAGGAGGAACACCAGUGGCGAAGGCGGCUUUUUGGCCUGUAACUGACACUGAGGCGCGAAAGCGUGGGGAGCAAACAGGAUUAGAUACCCCUGUAGUCCCUGUCUCUUAUAC